RNAcentral lists this ribosomal RNA (473 nucleotides) under Angiostrongylus cantonensis (rat lungworm). Its description in RNAcentral is "partial small subunit ribosomal RNA". The record is from RNAcentral. Lineage: Eukaryota; Metazoa; Nematoda; Chromadorea; Rhabditida; Metastrongylidae.
UAUGCUAGUGAAAUUUAAUCUUUAUUUUUGUUGGGGCAUGAAGUUUUUUGUUGGUUUUUAUGAAUUUUAGGUAAAAUUAAAAUUUAUAUUUAGAGGUUUUUAUGUCAUUAAGAUUUUGAAGGCGAAUUAGAUUAGUACCUAAUUAGUGAAAAAUUAAAUGUUCAGGAGUAAAGUGGUAUUUAAACUGAAAGAAUAUUGGCAGAUUUUCUAAAUUAUCUUUGGAGGUUGAGUGAUAAUUGAGAACCCUCAUUAACUACUUGAUUUUUUGGCUUAUGUAUGAUCGUUUAUUUUAAGCUUAAGGUUUAGGAUUUUAGGUUUUGACUGUAAAAAUAGAUAUAUAUUUAGUUUAUGAUUAAGUUAAUUUGACCUACAAUAUUUUGAAUUGUGGAUUAUUAAAUUAGUAUUAGUAUGAAAUUGUAAAAGACAGUAAGAAAGUUUUUAUAUCUUUUUGAAGAGUAUUUAGAAAUGGCACA